This 67-nucleotide transfer RNA is filed under the name Patescibacteria group bacterium. Its description in RNAcentral is "tRNA-OTHER". It matches the Rfam family "tRNA". From Rfam's summary of the family: Transfer RNA (tRNA) molecules are approximately 80 nucleotides in length. Their secondary structure includes four short double-helical elements and three loops (D, anti-codon, and T loops). Further hydrogen bonds mediate the characteristic L-shaped molecular structure. tRNAs have two regions of fundamental functional importance: the anti-codon, which is responsible for specific mRNA codon recognition, and the 3' end, to which the tRNAs corresponding amino acid is attached (by aminoacyl-tRNA synthetases). tRNAs cope with the degeneracy of the genetic code in two manners: having more than one tRNA (with a specific anti-codon) for a particular amino acid; and 'wobble' base-pairing, i.e. permitting non-standard base-pairing at the 3rd anti-codon position. The record is from RNAcentral.
GCGGGUACUCCAGGGGAAAGCCGGCCUUCCAAGCCGUGUGACGAGAGUUCAAGUCUCUCUAUCCGCU